Long non-coding RNA from Mastomys coucha (southern multimammate mouse), 2599 nucleotides. RefSeq lists it as uncharacterized. The record is from RefSeq and is a predicted model, not a curated record. Lineage: Eukaryota; Metazoa; Chordata; Mammalia; Rodentia; Muridae. The transcript has 4 exons.
GCACAGCCGCAGGUCUUCAGAACCAAGGGCUUUCUCCAACCCUCUCUCCUCCAUCGCUGGAGGGGGACAUAUGUUGGACAGAGAAGGAAGUGGACUGCAUAGAAUAAAGGAAGAAACAGAGCUAUCAGGCAUAAAGACAAGUCUAAAGAGAAACCACAAAAUAAGAGACAUACAGCUAUGGAGGAUAAUGCCCGUUGAAAAGGUGCCUACCCCAGGCUCUGCCCACCCAGCCUCCCAGGGCUGGAUUAGAGUUGAGCCACCAUGGUCACCUUCCACCGAGUUUGCAAAGUUGUGCUGGAGUAACUCCCUGAAGAUUUCAACAUACUGGAAAAUACUUAAAGACAAGACACAAGAGGCUGAAGAGAUUGCUCAGUGGUUAAGAGUUGCUCUUCCACAGGACCCACACUGGUGGCUCACAACCAUCCAUAGCUCCAGUUCUAGACCCAGGUAUGUAAACAUCAUUCAUUGAAAAGUAUAAAUUGAAGUGGAAAUUUCUGGUUUCUUUGGAAACUCAGUUGUGGUAUUUUUCUGGAAGCUGUCUUGUGAGAGGAUGUUUUGCUGGAGCAGACACAUGGGAGGCCAUGUGAUGUUUUGCUUAAGUGGACACUAGAGAGGAGAGAAAUGUACCAAAGAACUUGUGGUAUUCCAGCUAAUUGUGGCUGCUUCCGCUGACUCAAGCCAAUUCAGAGGAGCCUUGUGGUUUCUGCUGGAUCAAGCCUCCUCAACUGAUUCGUGUUUGGUGUUCGCUAUUGGACUGGACUGCUGGUUGACAACAAGUGGAAUUGCCCACCCCAAAAGAACUACUAUUAAACAGGUCCACAACCUUUCCUACUAACCUUCUUCCUCCCCCAUCUCUAGUUGAUGGGUUAGAAGGGAAGUUUAAAUAAGAACCGUAAAUAAAGUAGGUUUAGAGAAAAAUCUAAGUCAACAAUAAAUGGAUGGAGGACUGGUACCAGAAUCAGAAGUCAGUUUCCUCAGAGGGAGCUGUCUCUAAUGUUGAGGUCAAACAAACUUGUUCCCCUCGCAUUUUAUCAUGAGAUAUGAUCCAUGUUCAGUCCAUGACCUUUGUUUUCCCUGGUGUUUCUAUUGCCUUUCUUUUUCUGGUUUCAUUUCACUUUGUCUUGACUCCUAAACUCCCAAUCAUGCUUUGAAGUAGAUCCAGACCUUGCCCUUGCUCAGACUCCUCUUUAUCUGUCAGUCACCUAGGCCUGCUCUACAGGGUAUGCUAGAGUCCCCUUCACUGCUACAACACCAGGGUGAUAUGCUCUGACCUGGAGGUGGGGCAUGCUUUCCUCUCAGUUGGAUUUUCUUACUGUCUUAACAGUACAUGAUGGAUAAGCCAAGCCUGAGCAUACAAACUGUCUACAUUUGCUCUCACCUCAGGUGGAGCCAAGGCAUACAACUCAUCUCCUGAGAACUUGGACACCAGUGCUCUAGCAUCCAGACCUGCGUUCCUUUGAGAGUAGCUUUUCUGCUCCCCACUUUAUCCCAGGCAUCCAGGAAUACCUUCAUCUGUUAAUAAAGCCUUUAGUAAUACGUAAGUUCUAUGUAGCCUGGCUCACACUAUGAAGAACACAUUUACUUCCAGGACACGCCUCCUAUCACGCACAGACCAUUUCAGGCAGUCUACUCUCCCAUUCUCUUUCUGGAAUCCCUGCUUCUUAGGUGUUGGAUAUUUGAGGUAAUCAACCUUUUUCUCAUGUUCUUCUCUUCUCUGUGGUUUGGACAGCAUGCUUCUACUGACAUCUUAGAAUUAUGCAGCCAUGUUUGUAAGUCCCUGGAAGUUCAUUCUCUUCUAAGUGUGCUUUUUAUAUAAAUAUAUUUUGUGCAUUUGGUAUGUCCUCAAAAUUCUGUGUGUUCCACCUCUGAGCUUUCCUGAAGCUCCCUUUGUGCUUCUAGAGGCUUCUUUACCUCUCCCGUUUCUUUCCUCCACCCACUGCUUUUUCUGUGCUAGCUCUCAUCAUGUGCAUCAUGGGAACAUGUAGGUUUUGUUCUUUGGCCCUUCUUAUCUCUCUAAGAACCCCCUUUCUGGCCAUCACCUAUUCAAUGAGUAUCAGUCACUGGCUGAUACUCAUACUCAUACAGGCUCUCACUGCAUCAUGGCUAUUACCCCAGAUGUUCAUGAAGUUUAAGAUCAUCAAAGAAAGAACCUGGAAGUUCAUCCAGCCAGACUGCUAUAUCAAAAUUAAGUGUAGUAGUACUUAGAGGUUCUAUCCACAGGGUGCCUGAAGACUCAAGGAUUGUGAUGCUCAAUCAUAGUCCUGGGGCAACAAGAAAACAAAGCUCAAGCUCCGCACACAGUAGCUUCCAGAAGGUCCAGCUCUACAGUGUCGAGGAGCUACAGGCACUUGUGAUGUGCAGUGAAGCUUUGCUGACAUUAUUCACACUUCUUCUAGGACCCACAAAGAAGAGCAUCCUCACUGGCCAUCAGUCACCAAUGCCUGUGGCAACAAAGAAACUGAAAGAUGCCUCUUGGUAGAACAUGUACAUGAAUAUUCUCCUCCUGCACCCACUCCUAUCAAAACAACAGGGGCCUUUUCUGCUAAUCACUAGUAGCUAAACUUUGCAUAGAAGUGGGAAGGAUAAUGACAUUUGGCAA